AAGCGUUGCUCGGAAUUACUGGGCGUAAAGCGUGCGCAGGCGGUUUCGUAAGACAGAUGUGAAACUCCCCGGGCUUAACCGUGGGAACUGCGUUUGUGACUGCGAGACUUGAGUGCGGCAGAGGGGGUGGAAUUCCACGUGUAGCAGUGAAAUGCGUAGAGAUGUGGAGGAACACCGAUGGCGAAGGCAGCCCCCUGGGUCGACACUGACGCUCAUGCACGAAAGCGUGGGGAGC
RNAcentral lists this ribosomal RNA (235 nucleotides) under uncultured bacterium. Its description in RNAcentral is "partial 16S ribosomal RNA". It matches the Rfam family "Bacterial small subunit ribosomal RNA", at positions 536 to 769 of the family's 1533-position model. The record is from RNAcentral.